RNAcentral lists this ribosomal RNA (591 nucleotides) under uncultured Burkholderia sp. RNAcentral describes it as "bacterial SSU rRNA". It matches the Rfam family "Bacterial small subunit ribosomal RNA", at positions 418 to 1003 of the family's 1533-position model. Lineage: Bacteria; Pseudomonadati; Pseudomonadota; Betaproteobacteria; Burkholderiales; Burkholderiaceae. The record is from RNAcentral.
UCGGGUUGUAAAGCACUUUUGUCCGGAAAGAAAACUUCGGGGCUAAUACCUCUGGAGGAUGACGGUACCGGAAGAAUAAGCACCGGCUAACUACGUGCCAGCAGCGCGGUAAUCGUAGGGUGCGAGCGUUAAUCGGAGUUACUGGGCGUAAAGCGUGCGCAGGCGGUCUGUUAAGACAGAUGUGAAAUCCCCGGGCUUAACCUGGGAACUGCAUUUGUGACUGGCAGGCUAGAGUAUGGCAGAGGGGGGUAGAAUUCCACGUGUAGCAGUGAAAUGCGUAGAGAUGUGGAGGAAUACCGAUGGCGAAGGCAGCCCCCUGGGCCAAUACUGACACUCAUGCACGAAAGCGUGGGGAGCAAACAGGAUUAGAUACCCUGGUAGUCCACGCCCUAAACGAUGUCAACUAGUUGUUGGGGAUUCAUUUCCUUAGUAACGUAGCUAACGCGUGAAGUUGACCGCCUGGGGAGUACGGUCGCAAGAUUAAAACUCAAAGGAAUUGACGGGGACCCGCACAAGCGGUGGAUGAAGGUGGAUUAAUUCGAUGCAACGCGAAAAACCUUACCUACCCUUGACAUGGUCGGAACCCUGGUG